GCCCCGCCCACUCCGGGAUACGGCCCGGGCCGGGGAAGAGGCGGCGGAGGCGUGCGGGCCCCUGCAGCAGGGGUCCGGGCCCCUGCAGCAGGGGUCCGGCCCCCUAGCACUGUGACCGGUUUGAGCCUGAGCAGGGGGUAAGACCCCCUAGGCAGGAACCUCCGGCUUUGGGCCCAGCAGCAGCAGGGCACACCUCGGUUAGCCCCCAGCCUUGGCUGUAGCCAACACCUACCGCCUCUGGGAAGGCUUCGACACAGAAGGAGGGAGGGGAAGGACAACCAGCAACCUAUAGAUCAGGUUUGUCCAAGUUACAAGAGAGGCCUCCAGUCCCUAAAGCAGCGGCUGCCAACCUUUUUAAGUAGGAGAUCACCGUUGGCAUUUAAAAGCAACCCAGGAUCUACUGUGUGCUGUCACCACCCCCCACCCAGCAGCUGUUGGAAUGGGGGAAGAGAAUGCCACCCACUAAGAAGCCCUGCCACCACAGCCUGACAAGCAACUGCUUGCUUCACUGCUGCCAUCACCAUCAGCUACACCACUGCUGCAGCCAAUGGCUCAUGAGGAGACCUGCAGUCUGGAUCCAGCCCAGGACAAGUUUGACAGCCCUGCAUUAAGGGAUCCAAAUCUAAAACACACUUCCACAGUGAUCAAACGAUUUUGGCCAGUCACAGGCAAUUUUGCAUACAUAGUAAUUUUGAACAGUACCUGCUUGAUAGGGAUCAUGACGGGUAUCCUGCCAGUCGACCUCAUCUUCUGAGCUGUCACUGUCUUCAAAAGGAUGUACCUUUCGAUAGUUCUCAAAUGAUAUAGAGACUUGAGAAACAAAAGUUAGAAAGUUUGUGACUGACAUGAUCACAUCCUCACUGCCUUCAUCAACUCAAGUGCAAUAAACAACACUCCUCAAACGACACUUCACAGACUCUCAAUAUUCUAAAGAACCCUUUCUAAAACUCCAUGAGAAAGUCAAGAAAGCAGCAAUGGUGAGUUUGGGGGCAAAUCUAUUAGGUAUGUGAGAUCUCCCUGAUGAACUGAUCCUCACAAUUUAUAUGCUAGAGAAAAGAGCCAGCACACACAAACCAAGAAAAGGGGACAAAAAGGGAAAGUGUUCACUAUGGUGCUGUAAUCACACACACACACAAACCCCACCUUGACAUUACACAUCAGAAAUAAACAACGACCCAACAAUCAUCAAGUUUUCUAAUUCAAGAUUUAAGUUUAAAAGGUGUUUCACUUACAUAACAACUUCAGGA
This is a long non-coding RNA of Alligator mississippiensis (American alligator), 1247 nucleotides long. RefSeq lists it as uncharacterized. The record is from RefSeq and is a predicted model, not a curated record. The transcript is spliced from 4 exons. NCBI's taxonomy places the organism in Eukaryota, Metazoa, Chordata, Crocodylia, Alligatoridae.